Dermochelys coriacea (leatherback sea turtle) is the source of this 415-nucleotide long non-coding RNA. RefSeq lists it as uncharacterized. The record is from RefSeq and is a predicted model, not a curated record. The transcript has 3 exons. NCBI's taxonomy places the organism in Eukaryota, Metazoa, Chordata, Testudines, Dermochelyidae.
CUGAGGGGUUAAAAAGAUGCCCCCAGAAGAAAAGGAGGGGGAAAGUGAUCAGCUCAGCCGGAAGCUGACCUGGAUAUAGAGGCAGCAUGCAGUGAGAAUGACACGUAGACUUGAGAGAUAGGGUCUGCAGCUGGCUAGAGACAACAAAGGACACCAAGGCUAAGUCAUAUCUACCUAGGGGUUUGAGGAGAAUACCAAGCAGAGAUACCCUGCAAUGGAUAGUAGCACAAGAGGAAUUGUGAUUUCCUGAGUCACAAUUUUUUCCUGGAACUCUUUGUCAGGCAACACAGAACAGAAUUAUCCUGUGAAAAAUACAGGAGUCUAUUAUCCACUAAGAAGUGGAAUACAAAACAACAAGGAUGUGAAGAAUCAAGGCUCCUGUAGAAUUAUAGACUUGGGCUGACAACAAAGUAGA